Molecule: ribosomal RNA, 459 nt
Filed under: uncultured bacterium
Lineage: Bacteria
Description: partial 16S ribosomal RNA
Rfam family: Bacterial small subunit ribosomal RNA
Source: RNAcentral
GAUGAACGCUGGCGGCGCGCCUAACACAUGCAAGUCGAACGGCACCCCUCCUCGGAGGGAAGCGAGUGGCGAACGGCUGAGUAACACGUGGAGAACCUGCCCCCUCCCCCGGGAUAGCCGCCCGAAAGGACGGGUAAUACCGGAUACCCCGGGGUGCCGCAUGGCACCCCGGCUAAAGCCCCGACGGGAGGGGAUGGCUCCGCGGCCCAUCAGGUAGACGGCGGGGUGACGGCCCACCGUGCCGACAACGGGUAGCCGGGUUGAGAGACCGACCGGCCAGAUUGGGACUGAGACACGGCCCUGACUCCUACGGGAGGCAGCAGUGGGGAAUCUUGCGCAAUGGGGGGAACCCUGACGCAGCGACGCCGCGUGCGGGACGGAGGCCUUCGGGUCGUAAACCGCUUUCAGCAGGGAAGAGUCAAGACUGUACCUGCAGAAGAAGCCCCGGCUAACUACGUG